Molecule: ribosomal RNA, 460 nt
Filed under: uncultured bacterium
Lineage: Bacteria
Description: partial 16S ribosomal RNA
Rfam family: Bacterial small subunit ribosomal RNA
Source: RNAcentral
CCUACGGGAGGCAGCAGUGAGGAAUAUUGGUCAAUGGGCGCAAGCCUGAACCAGCCAAGUCGCGUGAGGGAAGACGGCCCUACGGUUUGUAAACCUCUUUUGCCGGGGAGCAAGCAUUAGCACGUGUGCCCAGGCGGAGAGUCCCCGCAGAAAAAGCAUCGGCUAACUCCGUGCCCGCAGCCGGGCUAAGACGGAGGAUGCGAGCGUUAUCCGGAUGUAUUGGGUUUACAGGUUGCGCAGGCCGGCUGUUAGGCAGGCGGGAAACAUUCAGGUCUAAACCCUGUGGAGCAGUCGGCACUGGCAGUCUUGAGUGGGCGAGAAGUGUGCGGAAUGCGAGGUGUAGCGGUGAAAUGCAGAGAUAUCACGCAGAACGCCGAUUGCGAAGGCAGCACACCGGCGCCAGACUGACGCUGAGGCACGAAAGCGUGGGGAUCGAACAGGAUUAGAUACCCUAGUAGUC